GAGUUUGAUCCUGGCUCAGAGCGAACGCUGGCGGCAUGCCUAACACAUGCAAGUCGUGCGGGGGGGUUUCGGCCCCCAGCGGCGGACGGGUGAGUAUCGCGUAGGAACGUGUCCUGAGGUGGGGAACAACCCCGGGAAACUGGGGCUAAUGCCGCAUGUCCCCUUCGGGGGAAAGCCUUCGGGCGCCUUGGGAGCGGCCUGCGUCCGAUUAGCUAGUUGGUGGGGUAACGGCCUACCAAGGCAGCGAUCGGUAGCUGGUCUGAGAGGACGAUCAGCCACACUGGGACUGAGACACGGCCCAGACUCCUACGGGAGGCAGCAGUGGGGAAUAUUGGGCAAUGGGCGAAAGCCUGACCCAGCAAUGCCGCGUGGGUGAAGAAGGUCUUCGGAUUGUAAAGCCCUUUCGGCGGGGACGAUGAUGACGGUACCCGCAGAAGAAG
Molecule: ribosomal RNA, 440 nt
Filed under: uncultured Alphaproteobacteria bacterium
Lineage: Bacteria; Pseudomonadati; Pseudomonadota; Alphaproteobacteria
Description: bacterial SSU rRNA
Rfam family: Bacterial small subunit ribosomal RNA
Source: RNAcentral